Long non-coding RNA from Apis florea (little honeybee), 1179 nucleotides. NCBI's taxonomy places the organism in Eukaryota, Metazoa, Arthropoda, Insecta, Hymenoptera, Apidae. The record is from RefSeq and is a predicted model, not a curated record.
UUUUCUGUCAUAAAGGAAACAACAAAACAAUCCUACCAAUCAUUCAAUAAAACUACACGGCUGAAGUAUUUUAUCACAUACACUUAUCAAGUCCAUUCCAAGUCGUAAUUCACGAUUAUCCACACGCGUUUCAAGACAAAUCGAGUCAACGGGUGGUAUCACGACAAGUUUCGCCGUCGAGUCGUUAGCUGACAAGUCGAUUCUGCAACGUGGACCAAUUUUUCCCUGUGCGCGACUGAAAAACUGAUUGUGCCGACACUGUCAAUCACGGGCGGCGGAUAUAAAAGCGAUUACCGAAACAUCACUAAUGUGAUUUUCCCGGCGAGCAGAGCAGCCUUUGCGGUGUAUCAGUGCGACAUCGGUGACUCUUGCUUGCUUUGCUCGAGCGAGGCUGAAAUUCAUCGUUUCGGAACUAAAACGAACAAAAGCAAAAAAAAAAAAGAAAGAAAGAAAAGAAUAAAAAGAAAAAAAUCAAGUCAGGGACCAGUGAUCUCGUCACCACGAAGGCGAAAACAUCGACAGAAACGUCAUUUCGAGAUGUAUAAUGUGAUUAGCAUAUCUCGUUCCGAUUCGGCUCGGUGUGUACGACCUGUACGAUUAUCGAGACCCCUGUUCGAGCUAUCGUAAGGUUAUUUACCUGAAUAAACCGUUCGAUAAAAGAGCGUCCAGAGACCACGUGAGACGAGGUUUAAUAAUUUCGCGUGGAAUAUCGCCUAGUGUGGAAUAUUAAUUUUUCAUCGUGCGAUAGACACAGGAAACUUUUUCUAUAAGUAUCGUUACACUCUUCUUGGAUUAUGUAGAAAGUGUCUUAUAGAUGACGAUGGAGGAGCAAUUGUGGAGGAGGUGAUUUAUGAUGAAAAAAUAAUAUAGGAUUUAAUUUAAUUUUCAUUUCAAUUUCAAUGUACCUUCUUAAAUCGAUUGCUUUUAACAAGGAAAUUGCUAUAUAUUUGCUUCGUUUAUUUUAAAGUUUUAUAUCGUAACGAGAGUAAAAAAAGUAACUCAUCAAAUUAACAUAAUUAACACGACCACGUGGACGAUAUAUAUGGACGUUUCUCACGAUUAAUUUCGUAGUAAUAAUUAAAUUAUGAAACAGUGGCGUUAAAUUAUGAGGCACAGUCUUAAUAAUACCUAGUAUGCUCACUGAUUAAUUGAAGAUUGCUUUUAAAAUUUUUUAUUAAG